AGCAGUCGCCACGGUAAUACGUAGGGUGCGAGCGUUAAUCGGAAUUACUGGGCGUAAAGGGCGCGUAGGCGGACAGUUCAGUCGGGGGUGAAAGCCCGGGGCUCAACCUCGGAAUUGCCUUCGAUACUGGCUGUCUUGAGUAUGAGAGAGGUGUGUGGAACUCCGAGUGUAGAGGUGAAAUUCGUAGAUAUUCGGAAGAACACCAGUGGCGAAGGCGACACACUGGCUCAUUACUGACGCUGAGGCGCGAAAGCGUGGGGAGCAAACAGGAUUAGAUACCCCAGUAGUCCCUGUCUCUUAUAA
This 303-nucleotide ribosomal RNA is filed under the name uncultured bacterium. Its description in RNAcentral is "partial 16S ribosomal RNA". It matches the Rfam family "Bacterial small subunit ribosomal RNA", at positions 507 to 809 of the family's 1533-position model. The record is from RNAcentral.